GUCUGUGGCCAUCCCUCCCUAACCGCGCCUGAUGCCCUCUGAUCUUGGAAGCUAAGCGGGCCGGGCCUGGUUAGUACUUGGGCAGGAGAAGGAAGAGCGGCCAGAGGUACUGGCU
Molecule: ribosomal RNA, 115 nt
Filed under: Neogale vison (American mink)
Lineage: Eukaryota; Metazoa; Chordata; Mammalia; Carnivora; Mustelidae
Source: RNAcentral